RNAcentral lists this ribosomal RNA (484 nucleotides) under uncultured bacterium. RNAcentral's name for it is "partial 16S ribosomal RNA". It matches the Rfam family "Bacterial small subunit ribosomal RNA", at positions 30 to 507 of the family's 1533-position model. The record is from RNAcentral.
AUUGAACGCUGGCGGCAUGCCUAAUACAUGCAAGUCGAGCGGACGAAGGGGGCUUUCUCCCCGCUGCAGUUGCGGACGGGCGAGUAAUUCCUACGAAUCUGCCUGACCUUUGGGAAUAAGGUCCCGACACGGGAGCUGAUACCGCACACGUCAUGAUGGUGAAACUGGGGGUUCUUUGGACCCAGACCUAUCAGCUGAGCCUAGGUCGUAUUAGCUAGCUGGUGGGGUAAAGGCCUACCAAGGCGACGAUGCGUAACUGAUCUGAGAGGCUGAUCAGACACACUGGAACUGAGACACGGUCCAGACUCCUACGGGAGGCAGCAGUGGGGAAUAUUGGGCAAUGGGCGAAAGCCUGAUCCAGCCACGCCGCGUGAGUGAAGAAGGUCUUCGGAUUGUAAAACACUUUUAUUAGGGAGGAAGGGCUGUGUAUUAAUCCAUGCCCGUUUUGACGGUACCAACAGAAUAAGCACCGGCUAACUUCGUG